UAACAUGAGAGUUUGAUCCUGGCUCAGGAUGAACGCUGGCGGCGUGCUUAACACAUGCAAGUCGAACGGA
RNAcentral lists this ribosomal RNA (70 nucleotides) under Lachnospiraceae bacterium. RNAcentral describes it as "partial 16S ribosomal RNA". It matches the Rfam family "Bacterial small subunit ribosomal RNA", at positions 1 to 70 of the family's 1533-position model. Lineage: Bacteria; Bacillati; Bacillota; Clostridia; Lachnospirales; Lachnospiraceae. The record is from RNAcentral.